UGCGCAGGUGGGAUUGUAAGUCAGUGGUGAAAUGCUGCCGCUUAACGGUAGAAUUGCCAUUGAUACUGCAAAUCUUGAGUAUGGUUGAGGUAGGCGGAAUGUGUCGUGUAGCGGUGAAAUGCAUAGAUAUGACACAGAACGCCGAUUGCGAAGGCAGCUUACUAAGCCAUUACUGACGCUGAGGCACGAAAGCGUGGGGAGCGAACAGGAUUAGAUACCCUGGUAGUCC
This 229-nucleotide ribosomal RNA is filed under the name uncultured bacterium. RNAcentral describes it as "partial 16S ribosomal RNA". It matches the Rfam family "Bacterial small subunit ribosomal RNA", at positions 568 to 796 of the family's 1533-position model. The record is from RNAcentral.